CCUACGGGUGGCUGCAGUGGGGAAUAUUGGACAAUGGGGGGAACCCUGAUCCAGCCAUGCCGCGGGUGUGAAGAAGGCCCUCGGGUUGUAAAGCACUUUCAGUGAGGAAGAACGCCUGGUGGUUAAUACCCAUCAGGAAAGACAUCACUCACAGAAGAAGCACCGGCUAACUCCGUGCCAGCAGCCGCGGUAAUACGGAGGGUGCGAGCGUUAAUCGGAAUUACUGGGCGUAAAGCGCGCGUAGGUGGCUUGAUAAGCCGGUUGUGAAAGCCCCGGGCUCAACCUGGGAACGGCAUCCGGAACUGUCAAGCUAGAGUGCAGGAGAGGAAGGUAGAAUUCCCGGUGUAGCGGUGAAAUGCGUAGAGAUCGGGAGGAAUACCAGUGGCGAAGGCGGCCUUCUGGACUGACACUGACACUGAGGUGCGAAAGCGUGGGUAGCAAACAGGAUUAGAUACCCGAGUAGUC
RNAcentral lists this ribosomal RNA (465 nucleotides) under Vreelandella stevensii. Its description in RNAcentral is "partial 16S ribosomal RNA". It matches the Rfam family "Bacterial small subunit ribosomal RNA", at positions 338 to 795 of the family's 1533-position model. The record is from RNAcentral. Lineage: Bacteria; Pseudomonadati; Pseudomonadota; Gammaproteobacteria; Oceanospirillales; Halomonadaceae.